Molecule: unclassified non-coding RNA, 1056 nt
Filed under: Hevea brasiliensis (rubber tree)
Lineage: Eukaryota; Viridiplantae; Streptophyta; Magnoliopsida; Malpighiales; Euphorbiaceae
Source: RNAcentral
AAAAAAAAAGGUUCGGAAGAUUUUUUGGGGUGUAAGAAAUUUUGAGAAAAAUAUAUCUAGGACGAUUUUAAGCAAAAGUAUACAGCUAAAAUACUCACUAUAUACAUUGAGGAAGUGAGGGGAGAAUAGAAAACAAUUAAUUUCUAUUCCAAGUCCCAUUCUUCCGUUUUGCCAUCCAUGAGCUCAUUUGGGUUUCCAUUCUAGUUCGCUGGUUCAUCGUUGGCGCUCGAGUCAUUUUUUUGGGAGUCUUUCACCCCUGCUUGUCCGUGUCAGUUCACUGCUCAAAAGGAGGUAAACUCUUUGUAAUCUUUAUGUUGUUUUACUCCUAACCAUUUUGUAUCUUCCGUUUUGAGUAUUUUUUAAUUUUGUGUUCGAUUCCCAUAGCUAAAACAAUUUGAUGAUCAAUGACUGCCUCAAUUAGUUCACAUUGUGUUCCUUUUAGACAUCUUAAAUAGUUGCAAAACGGUAUGUAUUGAAAUUUACUUCCUGGGUUUGAUGAAAAUUCUGUGUGGGUAGUCUUUUUUUCGAGUUUAGCGUAAUGUUUAGUCAUGUUAACAAUUUUCUUUCCUCUUAUGAUUGUUAGAAUGUGGUUAGAAUCUGUCCCCUUUUCCCUUUGUUGUUAUCAAGUGCCAAAAGAAGUGUCUAUCUUUGUUGUUCAUCUUUAAUUCUCAACCGGUCAAUUUAAUAUUGUUUUCUUUGGAGAUAUUUGCAGUAAAACGUUAAAACUUAAUCUCAAUGUCAAAUGGCCUAUCUCUUGUUUCCUCAAAAUGUUUGAAUACAUUGAGUAUUUUGUAUUCUUUUAAGUUUAUUUGUGGAUUAAGGAUAGAAAUUGUUCAUGUGUGUAUUACUUUAUCAUGGUCAAGUUGAAAUUUUGACUACUGUAAGUUUUUACUUUCAUCUGGUUUUCUAGUAUUCUCUUAGCCUUGUAUUGUUUCAUUUUUCGAAUUAGGAAAUACGAUGUUCAUGUUGGGAGGAAUGUAUUGCGACAAUAUCGACUCGUAUGUAUCAUGUUAUUCGCCAUUAUCUUGUUAGUUUAUACACUUACUGCUGGAAAUU